UUCCCUAAAAUCUGCCACUGCUGCCUUGCAAACCAAAACCAGAGAAAUAAAAUGCACCUGAAUUGUUUCUUCACUGAAUUCAUCUCUCCUAGACCAUCUAUGGCUUAUUUGACACAAGUACCAACUAUUCUGUGUCCCUCAAUGGAAUCAUUCUGGACCGAGUAAUUUGUUAGCCACGUCACAUCCUCUGUGUGAAGAGCUGGAAGAUCAGCAGCAGGUAGAGCCAGGACGGCAGCAGAGCUCUGGAUCUUGGGGACUGGAAGGAACUUUUCAUACAUCUUAUCUGCCUCCUUAUCAAGAGGACAUUUGUGAAAACCCACUUCCCAGAGAUCUGAAGCAAAAUGGCUCUUGGGGAAUAUAAAUGAGAAAGAUGAGUAAAAUGCAUAUGUGUGUA
Molecule: non-coding RNA, 394 nt
Organism: Ictidomys tridecemlineatus (thirteen-lined ground squirrel)
Lineage: Eukaryota; Metazoa; Chordata; Mammalia; Rodentia; Sciuridae
Source: RefSeq, a predicted model, not a curated record